This is a long non-coding RNA of Rhipicephalus sanguineus (brown dog tick), 4911 nucleotides long. RefSeq lists it as uncharacterized. The record is from RefSeq and is a predicted model, not a curated record. NCBI's taxonomy places the organism in Eukaryota, Metazoa, Arthropoda, Arachnida, Ixodida, Ixodidae. The transcript has 2 exons.
GCAACCAUGUUCAUGAUGGCUGCAGACGCCAAUGUGUCGAGUCCAUUUAGCUCAUUGUCGGCAGCGUUUUGAGAGAUUUCGGCAUGUUAUUAGCAUUAGUCAGUGUUCAAGAAAACACCUACGCGCUUCGCCAAAUAAGAAGAACGUAGCGCAUCGGCGUAUUGUUCUAGGACUCACCGGAUGCUCACGGAGAGACUGAGAGCGGCCUUCCAUUAGCACAAGAGGGAAUGAACAAGGCGGCUCCAGUCCCUGGUAUUGCUGAAUCCGUGGGCGACAUCAAACGACGCUAUGAGGACACGGCACAAGUGCUGUUCUUGGAACGUCGAGAGAAACAGCGUCCUUCGAGUUUUCUCUCCUACGGAGAGACGAAGAAGUGCUACGCAUACAGUGGCACGGGAAAACCGUACGUCGAUGUAAAGGAAGGAGUUCGUGCCGACCAGCAGUCAUUUCAGAGUCAGAUUUGCAGCAUCAUGUAGUGGUGGUGGCCUAGCAAUGCAGUCGUCACAGUGACCAAAAAUAUAGGGGCCCGAAGGCAGCACGUUUCUUCUCUUUUUUUUUAUUUGUUCCUUUUUUUGGAAUGGGAGCAUACUACUGACACAGUUCCGCCCAGUUGUGAUCCACGGCCUGCAGCGUUUUUUGCCAGGCCCAAUCUAGUCUUUCUUGUGGAACUGUUCACUCGAUGUUUUAAUUUCGCAGGCCCAUCUCUUUGAGUUAUACAAGCCAUGCAAGCAUUGAAUCGAUGCCACUGUGUGUUUGGUGACCUGUUAUAACUGAUAUGUAGACGUUUGAUUGCUACAACAGACACUUGUGUGCCGUCUAGACCAGGCAAUGCCACUAUGUUUUAUUUUUAUUUUCAUCAAUGUAAAAAGUUGUUUCCCGAGCACCUUUUACAACUUUCUGCACAUGGUAUGUUAUAUAGUGUAAUGUAGUGCUUAAAAUGCAAAUCGCAACUCUUUUUUAGUCUCAUGAUCCUCAGUUUGUGUCCUUUUAAAUAGAGCAAUGACAGUAUUUCUUUCUGUAUAUGUUACAACGUGAAAAGGGGGUGUUCAUCCCCAUUUGUUUUUCUGUUGUGAAGCUUUGUAUGUGUACCGAAAUGAAGCCACUGUGAAAUGAACUCCAAGGACCAAAACUAAAUGGACCACAGUUCUGCAAUGGGUGUGCACUGGCAUGUGGCCAACAUAGGAGUUAGAGCGUAAACAUGGGAGUUAGAGCGUAAGCGUGUCAUGCCGUGACUCUGGUGUGCUUAUGCAUGAGCAUAACAUGUUCCUUAAACCCCAUGAGACCAUGUGAUAGUGCUACCUAGAUUUCAAAGCGGUGUGCUGCUUACCUCAUAGUACAAGUGAAAUGUGUAUUCUUGGUCUAACAGUGUGGGUGGGGCACGCGAGCUUUGUAAAACACAAACACGUGCUGCUGCUGUAAAGAUGUGAGGUGAAGUGGUGGGAGCACACAGUGGAAUAGAUGCACAAACUGGGGUAAGGUGCUUCGGACACCUUAUGCCUGUUUUUGCAGCUUUUAUUUCAUGCUGUUACUGUGGUCAGUUGAAAAAAAGAAGUGAAUGCAUGUCCCUUUGUGUAAGUUGAAACAGUAGUACGGAAAGCCGAGCUAGUUGGUACGAAUGCAUAGUGCAAUAGCGCAAGAAACACAGGGACACAGGCUCUCUUGCCUGUGUCCCUGUGUUUCUUGCGCUAUUGCACUAUGAAGUUGAAACAGUUAGUAAUAUAGGCUGGGAAAAAAAGUGUGAAGCUAUUGCUUCUUGGUAAUAUUCACACACGUUGGUGUCGCUGUAGCAAGCAUUAUUGUGAAAUGUGUUGCUUGCGUAUGAAAAAAAAAAAAAAAAAACUUACCGGGUCUAGUUGCACCUUUCCUUGAAAGCUGUGUUGUACAAGCAGGGUGGUGAGGAAAAUUGCCCAAAGUGGAAUCGUUGUGCUGUGCAUUGUAAGUUAUCCAAAAGUAGCCCCUAAGGUGCCAAUAAGCUAUUACGAUUGCAUUUGUCUUUGCCUCAAGGUGCUUUCAAAGUUUUUUUCUACAGAAUGAUUGUCCAGUUGUCACCACCAUUAUGCACAGAAAAAGAAAAAGGCUAUUGAGCUGCAGUUUCAUGUACAAAAUUAACUUCAGGGGUUUGACGUGCCAAAACCACGAUGCGGUUAUGAGGCACGCUGUGAUGGGGGAGACUCUGGACUAAUUUCGUCCACCUGGGGCUCCUUAAUUUGUACAGGUGUUCUUCCAUUUCGCCCCAUUGAAAUGUGGCUGAUGUGGCCAGGAAUCAAACCCCUGCUCUCAAGCUUAGCCACGCAAUACCUUACCUCCUAAGCUAGCAUGCCAGGUGUGCAUGAAAUAGUGUUGAGGGACAAGGCGAAGCAUUAGUGUAAAAGAGCUGCUAACCUUUUACAACGAUCAUUCGCUGUAGGCCACCCCAUGGUUCAAUCGUGGAACUGGGAUAUUUUGCUACUGUACGGAAGCUUAGACGAGACACCUUUCAAGUGCAUGACGGCUGCCUGCCAUCUCCCUUCCCAUUUCCACCAACUCGAUAGGGAGCCCUCGGCAAGCCCUGUUGAAAAUUUAGGCAAUGCACUAGGAGCCUUGUGAAGGGCCAUUAAAGGGGUCAUGAAUCACUUUUCCAAGUAAUGAUCUAAUGACCUCAGUAUCGGAGUUUACUGCCCCCCAAAUCGAUUGCCACAAAAAUUUCUCGAAUCCGUCAAGAAUGAGCGAAGUUACGGGGUUUGGGCGCAUGCUCUCAGCGCUUUCUCUCCUUUCUCGUGCUGACGAGCGCACUGGAAGCUACAUGGGGAGGGAUGGCAUGAGGGAAAGAAGUUACGUCAGCGCGCACGUCGUGAAACGCGAUCGCUCUCCCGCUGUGAUUCGCGAGCGUGGCUACCGUGUACUGAGGAGUGCGGCGCCGGCAAGUGGCGGCACCCCGUGGCAAGAAGCGCAUCUGAUCCGAACGCCACUCUCGAUUUACGUCGGCUAUCGGCCAAUGAGGAUGCUAUGUCUUUUGCGACGCGGCGAUGCAGAUCGCGACGUCAAUCGGCAGACGCCCCGCCCACCGACGAGAGUGAGAACCGGCCUCUGUUUGAAAAGAGGGCGCCUGAGAAAACAGCAACUUCGCGUUCCGCUUGUAGCCUUUACGCGGCGCGCAUGACUGCAAUACUUGGCUGAGCAGUUCAUAGCCGUGUCAGCUUUCCACAGGAUGUGUUUUUUCAACAAGCCCAAGGGGUGCUUCAUGACCCCUUUAAGGGAGUGCUCUACAGCAGCGAUAUUUUAAAACGGUUUAGUAGUGGCCGAGAUGCAAGCAGAUGGAUGUAAAACGGUGGCGCCUCCCCUUCCCCACUUGGGGGCUCUUUCUUUUUUGCCUCGACAAGUGCCCACAAGUAACAUUUGUAUAGCUCGUCAUGUUUUUGUCACAACCGACAACUUCCUCAUCCAUCUUUGCCCUCUUUUCUCUUCGGUAUGGUGCAUUUCCAGAGAAUUCAGCAUAAUCCGGACUUUGCAGGAGUCCUAGAUGUCUUCCCAGUGCUCUUGGCUUUUUGUAUGCUGCAUGGUGCUGUGUGAUGCAAAAGCGCCAUGCGCAUGUGUCAUCUUACUCGCAGCCACAGUUGUCUCCUCUGAGGAGAAAUGUGCGCAGGCUUUUGUCAGAAUUUUUCUGUUGUUUUUGCAGUGUACAUUAGUGAAUACCUUGUGGAUGCACGACUACGAGCAGUGUUUGUUUGCACUGCCGAAACCUGGUGAGGGGCCCUUUAAGGGAUGGUUUGCCUUGUUGAACUUAAUAUUACUGUGCUUGUUGAAAUACACUUCUGCUGCAAGUACACAAUAUGACAAUGCGUUUCCUUACAAUGCAAACCUGUUUUCUUCUCAAAUGUAUGUGAAAUUUUCAGAAUCCACUCUCGACAAAACUUUCUGGACAUGCAAAAACAGCAUUAUUUUUCUUUUUCUCUUAUUCAGAGAAGUCAGACACUAGUUGCAAUUAAAGUUGAUAGAGAAAUAAAAAAUUGUGGUUAUGACAGUGACACCUAAGCACUUGUGCAUGACUGUGAAUGAAUUAAAAUCUAUAAAGGAAACUGUGUGUGAAGUCUAGCAAAUUUUGCGAUGAUUGGUCUGGCAUCGAGCAGACUUUAAUAAUGCAAGCACUCGACACUCGGUGUAUUCUGUACCAUCGCAAAGCCACAUAAGAACCAGGAACAUGCACUGAUUAACAGUGAGUAAAUAAAGGAACCUUUAGCAUGGAGUCAAUGUUUCAACAAGGACUUGUACUUGUUCAGAGCAUUUCCAAAAAGCACCACUGUCGAAAUGUCUCUUCCUAGCUACGGUGUUCCUUGUUUGCCCUAUGUUAGUUUGUGUUGUUGCCAUCUUGCGAUAGCUUUCUCUUGUUAAUAUCAGAUACAUGCGAUUUGUGCGUGUAGCUGUUAGUCUUUCAGUUUGAGCUCUCCAUGACAAACACUUUCCAUUGCACGUGGCAACAUGUGAAAUUGUACUCCACUAAAAGUCCGUUGUUCCUUUAGCCCGAGCAGCAUUUGAACUUUUGACUGGCACAGAACUUGUGCCAAAUAUUUGGUACAUACCUCUGUAUGCAAAAUUUGGUACGUGAUGUGUGUUAGUUUCAUUGCCAAGCUGCACAUGCACAAUGUCUAUUUAAUGUGCCUGAUUUUUUUUUUUAAAUUACCCUUACCUAACAGUGCUUAGAAUACUUUCCUGCUCAAGGAAGUUGUGCGUCCUGCCUGGGAACUUGUUCAUUUAUUGUGUGAAGAGCGCGGUUACAUGCAUCUCCAUUUGGGACAAAAUUGUGGUGGACUGUGUAGCAAGUGAGGAAAGUUUUCCUUUUUUUUUUAUUUAGCAUGAAAUUUGAUUUUCUGUGCUUGGUGCCUGCAGUCACAAUGACUUAUAAUAAAUUUGCAGAUGUCAGAACUGGGCAAGCCA